AAUGAACGCUGGCGGUAUGCCUAACACAUGCAAGUUGGACGAACUUAGAAUUUUUAUAGAAUUUUAAGUUAAGUAGCGGACGGGUGAGUAAAAUGUAAGAGACCUACCUUUAGGAGGGGGAUAACGACUGGAAACGGUGGCUAAAACCCCAUAAGCUGCGGAGUAAAAAGUUGACACUGCCUAAAGAUGGGCUUGCAUCUGAUUAGCUUGUUGGUGGGUUAAUU
This 224-nucleotide ribosomal RNA is filed under the name uncultured cyanobacterium. RNAcentral's name for it is "partial 16S ribosomal RNA". It matches the Rfam family "Bacterial small subunit ribosomal RNA", at positions 29 to 262 of the family's 1533-position model. The record is from RNAcentral. Lineage: Bacteria; Bacillati; Cyanobacteriota.